CCGAGCCAACUUGUAAACCAACAUGCGGAAAAAACGAGUGGGUAUGUAGGAAGCUGGCACAAAGGGCAUCAGCAAAGGAGAUAAGACCAGGAACAAGUACACUCCAUCACAGUGAACACAGGAUUCGAAUCGUGAUGGAACCCAGCAGGUGAUAACAAGAUUAAUCUUGAAAGCCUGUGGGGUUUCUCCCAAAUCCGCUGUGUUAUGACAUACAUCAGAAUAGCAGCUCCACCUACACUAUGGGAAAUUGCACAGAGUUCGUAAGGUUGAUCACUGUCACACUGUUCCUCAAGGCCUGCUUGGCUAGUUUUCAAUUCAGAAACUUUUAUUCCAUGGAUCUUCGCUAUCAUCGCAGGUAUAUCCUCUGUCCCGUGCUCAUUUAUGGAAUACUGCCAGUAUCUACAAAAAAUAAUUUGAGAAAAAUUUAGCAAUGACAGAUAUAUACAAAACGCCAACUUGUUGACCAACAUGCGGAAAAACCGAGUGGGUAUGUAGAAAGCUGGCACAAAAGGCAUCAGCAAAGGAGAUAAGACCAGGAACAAGUACUCCAUCACAGUGAACACAGGAUUCGAAUCGUGAUGGAAACCAGCAGGUGAUAACAAGAUUAAUCUUGAAAGCCUGUGGGGUUUCUCCCAAAUCCGCUGUGUUAUGACAUACAUCAGAAUAGCAGCUCCACCCAAACUAUGGGAAAUGGCACAGAGUUCGUAAGGUUGAUCACUGUCACACUGUUCCACAAGACCUGCUUGGCUAGUUUUCAACUCAGAAACUUUUAUUUCAUGGAUCUUCGCCGUCAUCGCAGGUAUAUCCUCUGUCCCGUGCUCAUUUAUGGAAUACUGCCAGUAUCU
This 845-nucleotide long non-coding RNA is filed under the name Nicotiana benthamiana. RNAcentral describes it as "long non-coding RNA (NBEN_LNC028482)". The record is from RNAcentral. Lineage: Eukaryota; Viridiplantae; Streptophyta; Magnoliopsida; Solanales; Solanaceae.